Molecule: ribosomal RNA, 366 nt
Filed under: Triticum aestivum (bread wheat)
Lineage: Eukaryota; Viridiplantae; Streptophyta; Magnoliopsida; Poales; Poaceae
Description: partial small subunit ribosomal RNA
Source: RNAcentral
GGUGCUCUCUUCUUCCUCCUCUCCUCUUUCCUCGGCGGCGGCGCAGGCGGCGCAGCGGCGACAGGAGAAGGCGAAAUGACGAAGGGAACGGGCAGCUUCGGCAAGCGCCGGAACAAGACCCACACGCUGUGCAUCCGCUGCGGCCGCCGCAGCUUCCACCUGCAGAAGAGCACCUGCUCCUCGUGCGGCUACCCCGCCGCCCGCAUCCGCAAGUACAACUGGAGUGUGAAGGCCAUCAGGAGGAAGACCACCGGCACCGGGAGGAUGAGGUACAUGCGCCACGUGCCCAGGAGGUUCAAGAGCAACUUCAGAGAGGGAACUGAGGCCGCACCAAGGAGCAAGGGAGCCUCUUCCAGCGGCAACUAG